GGUUAAGCGAAUAAGCGUACACGGUGGAUGCCUAGGCAGUCAGAGGCGAUGAAGGACGUGCUAAUCUGCGAUAAGCGCCGGUAAGGUGAUAUGAACCGUUAUAACCGGCGAUUUCCGAAUGGGGAAACCCAGUGCAAUUCGUUGCACUAUCAUUACCUGAAUACAUAGGGUAAUGAAGCGAACCGGGAGAACUGAAACAUCUAAGUACCCCGAGGAAAAGAAAUCAAACGAGAUUCCCCCAGUAGCGGCGAGCGAACGGGGAGCAGCCCAGGACCUUAAUCAGCAUCAGUGCUAAGAGAACAGUCUGGAAAGGCUGGCCACAGCAGGUGAUAGCCCUGUAUCUGAAAGCACUGGUGUUGUGAGUCCGAUGAGUAAGGCGGGACACGUGUUAUCCUGUCUGAAUACGGGGGGACCAUCCUCCAAGGCUAAAUACUCCUGACUGACCGAUAGUGAACCAGUACCGUGAGGGAAAGGCGAAAAGAACCCCGGCGAGGGGAGUGAAAAAGAACCUGAAACCGUGUACGUACAAGCAGUGGGAGCACCUUUAUGGUGUGACUGCGUACCUUUUGUAUAAUGGGUCAGCGACUUAUAUUCUGUAGCAAGGUUAACCGGAUAGGGGAGCCGCAGGGAAACCGAGUCUUAACUGGGCGAAUUAGUUGCAGGGUAUAGACCCGAAACCCGGUGAUCUAGCCAUGGGCAGGUUGAAGGUUGGGUAACACUAACUGGAGGACCGAACCGACUAAUGUUGAAAAAUUAGCGGAUGACUUGUGGCUGGGGGUGAAAGGCCAAUCAAACCGGGAGAUAGCUGGUUCUCCCCGAAAGCUAUUUAGGUAGCGCCUCGUGAAUUCAUCUCCGGGGGUAGAGCACUGUUUCGGCUAGGGGGUCAUCCCGACUUACCAACCCGAUGCAAACUGCGAAUACCGGAGAAUGUUAUCACGGGAGACACACGGCGGGUGCUAACGUUCGUCGUGAAGAGGGAAACAACCCAGACCGCCGGCUAAGGUCCCAAAGUCAUAAUUAAGUGGGAAACGAAGUGGGAAGGCUCAGACAGCCAGGAUGUUGGCUUAGAAGCAGCCAUCAUUUAAAGAAAGCGUAAUAGCUCACUGGUCGAGUCGGCCUGCGCGGAAGAUGUAACGGGGCUAAAUUAUGCACCGAAGCCGCGGCAGCGAUAUGUAAAUAUUGUUGGGUAGGGGAGCGUUCUGUAAGCC
RNAcentral lists this ribosomal RNA (1208 nucleotides) under Morganella morganii. RNAcentral's name for it is "partial 23S ribosomal RNA". It matches the Rfam family "Bacterial large subunit ribosomal RNA", at positions 1 to 1249 of the family's 2925-position model. The record is from RNAcentral. Lineage: Bacteria; Pseudomonadati; Pseudomonadota; Gammaproteobacteria; Enterobacterales; Morganellaceae.